GACGAACGCUGGCGGCGUGCUUAACACAUGCAAGUCGAACGGAAAGGCCCUGCUUUUGUGUGGUGCUCGAGUGGCGAACGGGUGAGUAACACGUGAGUAACCUGCCCUUGACUUUGGGAUAACUUCAGGAAACUGGGGCUAAUACCGGAUAGGAGCUCCUGCUGCAUGGUGGGGGUUGGAAAGUUUCGGCGGUUGGGGCUGGACUCGCGGCUUAUCAGCUUGUUGGUGGGGUAGUGGCUUACCAAGGCUUUGACGGGUAGCCGGCCUGAGAGGGUGACCGGCCACAUUGGGACUGAGAGACGGCCCAGACUCCUACGGGAGGCAGCAGUGGGGAAUAUUGCACAAUGGGCGGAAGCCUGAUGCAGCAACGCCGCGUGCGGGAUGACGGCCUUCGGGUUGUAAACCGCUUUCGCCUGUGACGAAGCGUGAGUGACGGUAAUGGGUAAAGAAGCACCGGCUAACUACGUG
RNAcentral lists this ribosomal RNA (468 nucleotides) under uncultured bacterium. RNAcentral's name for it is "partial 16S ribosomal RNA". It matches the Rfam family "Bacterial small subunit ribosomal RNA", at positions 28 to 507 of the family's 1533-position model. The record is from RNAcentral.